GACGAACGCUGGCGGCGUGCUUAACACAUGCAAGUCGAACGGAAAGGCCCUGCUUUUGUGGGGUGCUCGAGUGGCGAACGGGUGAGUAACACGUGAGUAACCUGCCCUUGACUUUGGGAUAACUUCAGGAAACUGGGGCUAAUACCGGAUAGGAGCUCCUGCUGCAUGGUGGGGGUUGGAAAGUUUCGGCGGUUGGGGAUGGACUCGCGGAUUAUCAGCUUGUUGGUGGGGUAGUGGCUUACCAAGGCUUUGACGGGUAGCCGGCCUGAGAGGGUGAACGGCCACAUUGGGACUGAGAUACGGCCGAGACUCCUACGGGAGGCAGCAGUGGGGAAUAUUGCACAAUGGGCGGAAGCCUGAUGCAGCAACGCCGCGUGCGGGAUGACGGCCUUCGGGUUGUAAACCGCUUUCGCCUGUGACGAAGCGUGAGUGACGGUAAUGGGUAAAGAAGCACCGGAUAAAUACG
Molecule: ribosomal RNA, 466 nt
Filed under: uncultured bacterium
Lineage: Bacteria
Description: partial 16S ribosomal RNA
Rfam family: Bacterial small subunit ribosomal RNA
Source: RNAcentral